Molecule: ribosomal RNA, 1608 nt
Filed under: Larkinella terrae
Lineage: Bacteria; Pseudomonadati; Bacteroidota; Cytophagia; Cytophagales; Spirosomataceae
Description: partial 23S ribosomal RNA
Rfam family: Bacterial large subunit ribosomal RNA
Source: RNAcentral
GGGUUGUGAGGUUAAGCGACUAAGCGUACACGGUGGAUGCCCUGGCAGUCAGAGGCGAUGAAGGACGUGCUAAUCUGCGAAAAGCGCCGGCGAGGUGAUAUGAACCUUUGACCCGGCGAUGUCCGAAUGGGGAAACCCAGUGCAAUCCGUUGCACUAUCGUUAACUGAAUACAUAGGUUAACGAGGCGAACCGGGGGAACUGAAACAUCUAAGUACCCCGAGGAAAAGAAAUCAACCGAGAUUCCCCCAGUAGCGGCGAGCGAACGGGGAGCAGCCCGGAGUCUGAAUCAGCUUGUGUGUUAGUGGAACGGUCUGGAAAGUCCGACGGUACAGGGUGAUAGUCCCGUACACGAAAGCACACAUGCUGUGAACUCGAAGAGUAGGGCGGGACACGUGGUAUCCUGUCUGAAUAUGGGGGGACCAUCCUCCAAGGCUAAAUACUCCUGACUGACCGAUAGUGAACCAGUACCGUGAGGGAAAGGCGAAAAGAACCCCGGCGAGGGGAGUGAAAAAGAACCUGAAACCGUGUACGUACAAGCAGUGGGAGCACCUUCGGGUGUGACUGCGUACCUUUUGUAUAAUGGGUCAGCGACUUAUAUUCUGUAGCAAGGUUAACCGUAUAGGGGAGCCGAAGGGAAACCGAGUCUUAACUGGGCGUUAAGUUGCAGGGUAUAGACCCGAAACCCGGUGAUCUAGCCAUGGGCAGGUUGAAGGUUGGGUAACACUAACUGGAGGACCGAACCGACUAAUGUUGAAAAAUUAGCGGAUGACCUGUGGCUGGGGGUGAAAGGCCAAUCAAACCGGGAGAUAGCUGGUUCUCCCCGAAAGCUAUUUAGGUAGCGCCUCGUGAAUUCAUCUUCGGGGGUAGAGCACUGUUUCGGCUAGGGGGCCAUCCCGGCUUACCAACCCGAUGCAAACUACGAAUACCGAAGAAUGUUAUCACGGGAGACACACGGCGGGUGCUAACGUCCGUCGUGAAGAGGGAAACAACCCAGACCGCCAGCUAAGGUCCCAAAGUCAUGGUUAAGUGGGAAACGAUGUGGGAAGGCACAGACAGCCAGGAUGUUGGCUUAGAAGCAGCCAUCAUUUAAAGAAAGCGUAAUAGCUCACUGGUCGAGUCGGCCUGCGCGGAAGAUGUAACGGGGCUAAACCAUGCACCGAAGCUGCGGCAGCGACACUAUGUGUUGUUGGGUAGGGGAGCGUUCUGUAAGCCGUUGAAGGUGUCCUGUGAGGGGUGCUGGAGGUAUCAGAAGUGCGAAUGCUGACAUAAGUAACGAUAAAGCGGGUGAAAAGCCCGCUCGCCGGAAGACCAAGGGUUCCUGUCCAACGUUAAUCGGGGCAGGGUGAGUCGACCCCUAAGGCGAGGCCGAAAGGCGUAGUCGAUGGGAAACAGGUUAAUAUUCCUGUACUUGGUGUUACUGCGAAGGGGGGACGGAGAAGGCUAUGUCAGCCGGGCGACGGUUGUCCCGGUUUAAGCAUGUAGGCGGAGGUUCCAGGUAAAUCCGGUACCUUAUUAACGCUGAGGUGUGAUGACGAGGCACUACGGUGCUGAAGUGAUAAAUGCCCUGCUUCCAGGAAAAGCCUCUAAGCAUCAGGUAACACGAAAUC